CUCAUAGACUUUGCAUGUGAAUCGGCCGCUCCUGCCGCUCAAAACGCAUUCGGUGUGAACGUACCAAAACUGUAUGUUGGCCGUUUUUUCUCACAAGUUUGUUUAGUUAGUCACUUAUACAAAUCCAGAAAUAUAUUUUUACUGAGACAUCCUACAAGAAUUAUACCGUCUUUAUCUUUUAGUUCAAUGAUUCACAUUGGUAUGUGCACCCCAUGGUACCCCCUGUAUACAGGGGGUACAUGGAAAAAUUUCCCAGGUGUGUAAAAUUAGGACUGAGAUUUGUAGGCCCCUAUGAUUUCCACAAUGCAGAAAUUGCAGACGGAAUCACGGAAUUAACACAAAAUGGAAUCCAGUAUAAAACGUGGAAUUUCAUGGAAUUUGCUCGUUUGGGUGAGUUUGACGUAUUUUGGACACUGCUGUUUUCUGCACCUGCCAUUACCUGGUUUAUUUAUUUAAUUACUUAUUCACUUCCAAGUAGACAUGGGAUGGUCUGAAAUUAUGAUGGUAUGAUAACCUUGGGCAAAAAUAUCACGGUUUCGUGGUAAGACUGUAUUAUGAUUACAACGGUAAAAAUUUUGUUUUGAAAUUUGUAUUUCAAAACAAAAAAAGAAAACCUCUUUUCUAUUAUAAUAUUCAUCUUUAAUUAUCGUUAGAAGCUGUUUUUAGAUAUCAGAGGUGUUCUGCUGAAAUUUUAUUUACCUGUGUGCAUUUAUACUUAUGAUUUUCAGCACCUAAUGCAAUUAGGUUAUCCUGAUAAAGUUUACAUCUAACAGGAUAAAUGAUGUUCCACUGCUUUAUUAGUCAAGACAAAUCAGUGUAUACUGCACAAGUCUUUUGAUUGAAGUAAUGUAUCAUGCUGGGAGUUUUUAUCUUGUUUUAAAUAACAAAGGGGUUUUUGACGUAAAGAUUAUUUGAUUAUAUUCACACAAAAACAAGAAAUAACAACUAUGAACGUGUGUUUAUGAAACACACGUUCAGCUAACGAGCUGCUCAGCUAAUGGAGGCAUUCAGUUUUAUCACCUUUCACUUAAAAUUUAUCAAAUACACAAUCCAACAACUCAAACAGUUUUGCAGACAAGCUGUGAUCAGCGUAUUAAGCCACAGCAACAUGGCGAUAUGUUUCACAAUCUAAUGCUAAAGUUAGCUCGUUCAUUUCAAGAUAGCACAAACUUUACCUGGAGCUGCGAUCAUGUUAGAUGUGUUGCCUCCACGGUCCACAUUGCUGUUGUCUUUACGGCAUCCUAAGUUUUUUCAUAUAACUGGAUUUUUAUUUUUGACAGGGAAAAGUUAGGGGAACUCUGUUAGCCACCAUCACAGAACCCCYGCAGAGCUGCGAGUGCCGACAGGCAGUCUGCUGCAGAGGGAAAGUCUGAAGCUGCACAGACCAGAGGAAAACCAAACAAGCCUCUGCGGAGAAGCAUAGAUGUGGCUGGACAUAAGAUGAACCUCUGUUCUUCUACUCUCCAACACUGUAAAUAUGCUUUUUUUUCUACAUGRCCACACUCCACACUUUUGGAGAUGUGCAGUAUUUUUUYGUUUUCUUUUUUUUACUUCUAUGCAGUGUUUUUUUCUGCUUCCUACCCAGUGAACCAGAGGAAUGUUGGGUGUUGAAAGAAGAGCACCAGGAGAGUUUCAGGGUAACAAGAGAAGAUGCCAACGAGAGAGAACAAAUUCUUAUUAGGCAGAUUUCCCUCCUUCCAUGAUAUAUGAGUGCACCACCACUCAUGGCAGAACUGCAUGCAUUUCUCUUGUGUUCUGGCUUAAACACAGCUAAAGGAGCUGUGGCACUAAGCAGUGCUYGGAGAAAGCCAGCAAGUCGGUAUGGUUCAGAUGGACAGAGGAAUUGAAUGUUUCAUAGACUAGUUUCAGUUCAUAUCAAUCGUUCCACCCAUGAAAUAUUUAAAAUCUACUUGUUUAUUGAAAUAUUUAACACUAAGGCUCUAUUUAUGCUCCAAGAAUCUGCGGGAGAUUUUYAGCCCAUCUAUAAAUCAAAGUCUUUCUGCAAAGCUUGAUUACAGAUCAGACUGAGAUCCCGAGCCUGGAAGUAAAAAAAAAACAGGCCAUCGCUGGAACAUGCUGGGUUUCAAAAGUAAAUAAAACAAAACAAAAAAUAAACUAAUUCAAAAAUAAACAAAAAAACAUUGAAUGUUUAUUGAAAUUGGACUUCGAUGUGGGUAAUCAUUUGGAACUUUGAGGAUGAGAAAAAAAAUAAAGCACACUGAAUGAAUAUUUUAAA
Austrofundulus limnaeus is the source of this 2236-nucleotide long non-coding RNA. RefSeq lists it as uncharacterized. The record is from RefSeq and is a predicted model, not a curated record. The transcript has 2 exons. Lineage: Eukaryota; Metazoa; Chordata; Actinopteri; Cyprinodontiformes; Rivulidae.